This is a long non-coding RNA of Coccinella septempunctata (seven-spotted ladybird), 445 nucleotides long. RefSeq lists it as uncharacterized. The record is from RefSeq and is a predicted model, not a curated record. The transcript is spliced from 3 exons. Lineage: Eukaryota; Metazoa; Arthropoda; Insecta; Coleoptera; Coccinellidae.
AAUUACAUUAUUUUUUAGUCAACUAAGUUUGCACUUUAUCCCUUUUAUGCAAUAGACCAUUAUCGGAAAACAUCGAAUACCUACUCAAAUAUUCAAAUUAGCAAGUGAUUUUUUAUAUAAAAAAAAACGAAAUGGAGAAUCCCCACAUAUAAAAUUAUAUCGAUUUCCUGAAUAAACAUUGAAUUGGAUCAUUAUCCUAUUCUAAAAAAAGUUGUUGACUUGAAGUGGUUAUUAGGAUGGUAGCUGAUUAUAGGAAUAUUCAAAUUUCACAUAUGAAUCGCUCUGGAAGAUUCAGGUCUCCAAGCAGUGCAAUAAAAAUACCAUUUCAUACUUUUAAUUCUUGUAUUUUUAUUGCUUAUUUACCAACUACAUUAUAAAUAAGCUAUGAAAAACAGUUCUGCUGUAUCUAUAAAAACCCAUAUUAUGAAAUAAAUCAUAUAAAAUA